AUCCCCCUACGGGACGCAGCAGUGAGGAAUAUUGGUCAAUGGGCGGAAGCCUGAACCAGCCACGUCGCGUGAGGGAAUAAGGCCCUACGGGUCGUAAACCUCUUUUGCCGGGGAGCAAGGGCGGGGACGUGUCCCGGCCCGGAGAGUACCCGGAGAAAAAGCAUCGGCUAACUCCGUGCCAGCAGCCGCGGUAAUACGGAGGAUGCGAGCGUUAUCCGGAUUUAUUGGGUUUAAAGGGUGCGUAGGCGGGCUUUUAAGUCAGCGGUAAAAAUUCGGGUCUCAACCCCGUCCGGUCGUUGAAACUG
This 305-nucleotide ribosomal RNA is filed under the name uncultured bacterium. Its description in RNAcentral is "bacterial SSU rRNA". It matches the Rfam family "Bacterial small subunit ribosomal RNA", at positions 333 to 635 of the family's 1533-position model. The record is from RNAcentral.